GACGAACGCUGGCGGCGUGCUUAACACAUGCAAGUCGAACGGAAAGGCCCUGCUUUUGUGGGGUGCUCGAGUGGCGAACGGGUGAGUAACACGUGAGUAACCUGCCCUUGACUUUGGGAUAACUUCAGGAAACUGGGGCUAAUACCGGAUAGGAGCUCCUGCUGCAUGGUGGGGGUUGGAAAGUUUCGGCGGUUGGGGAUGGACUCGCGGCUUAUCAGCUUGUUGGUGGGGUAGUGGCUUACCAAGGCUUUGACGGGUAGCCGGCCUGAGAGGGUGACCGGCCACAUUGGGACUGGGAUACGGCCCAGACUCCAACGGGAGGCAGCAGUGGGGAAUAUUGCACAAUGGGCGGAAGCCUGAUGCAGCAACGCCGCGUGCGGGAUGACGGCCUUCGGGUUGUAAACCGCUUUCGCCUGUGACGAAGCGUGAGUGACGGUAAUGGGUGAAGAAGCACCGGCUAACUACGUG
This 468-nucleotide ribosomal RNA is filed under the name uncultured bacterium. RNAcentral's name for it is "partial 16S ribosomal RNA". It matches the Rfam family "Bacterial small subunit ribosomal RNA", at positions 28 to 507 of the family's 1533-position model. The record is from RNAcentral.